UUGUUUCUCUCUUCAGAACAUCUUCUUUUCUCACCAACAUAAGACAGAGAUGACCUGUUCUACUAUGAGAUAAACUCAGUUGCUGUUCUGUUGCAAUGGUCAAGACUCGUCAGAAUCUACAGUCUCUUUCCUGGAAAGAUGGAUAAGGAAUACAGAGGGAAGUUAAAGAACUGGGACAAAGGAAAGGAAACCCUGGCCAGACUCAGUUCUCUUGGCGAACAUAUGUACUUGAAGCGGCUUUGUACUGAGUCAAACCAAUGAUCCAUUUAGCUCAGUAUCCUUUACAAUGGCCCACUCCACGUGUAACGUUAAGCCAAAGCAGCAUUCAAGACAUGUACUGAGGUAUGCAUGUGAUCUCAGACAAUCAACACUCUCUGCUUCAGCCCCCCUCCCCCGCCAUCUCCAACAUGGGGGCUAAUGAGGAUUUUAUAGCAUGCAAUACUGGUUCCUCUGUCAAGCCAAGGCUUUUCUCCACAGAACUUCAGCUCUUAUAGAUGCCAACAUUAAGGAGACACAAAAGCAGUGACCAUCAAGUUUAAGGAGAAAAUGUUAAGGGUUCAAUCCAAUCAAAGAUCAAGCACUUUUAUGUCAAUGGGAGUCAUGUGCUUAAAUUGUUAACUGAAGUAAAUGGGGCACUAGAAGUGUUAAAUUUGGGUGGAUAAUGCACACUAUAAAGGACAAUUUAAAAUGUUUAUUUUUAAUGAUCACCAGUUGCAGAACACAAUAAAGAAGGGUAGAAGCAGCAAGGAAAGAGUGCUUGUACCAGAGGCUCAGCUUCAUUCACUUCCUUGCCCCAGAAGACCUGUUGCUUGCUCAGCCCCUCAUUAGCCUCAGAGGACCUUGGUGAGAGCUGUUACCUGGCAACUGUCUGCAAAGGAAGACUGCUUCCAUCAUAGGCUGAACCAGUUCGCGCUGCUCAGCCCUACUCCCCUUGCCUCAGAGGAUUCUGGUGGGAGCUGCUGCCUAGUAUGAUACUAAGGGAGGACAACGAUGAGGGCAGAAAAUGCCACCUGAAUAUUCCUAGUUCUAUAUGGAUACCUUGCAAUUUCUGUUCCUGUACUGCAUUUGAGUGUUAUUUUAUUUUUGUGAAUAUUUUGAAAGUUGCUUUGAGAGUCUCUCAUGGCUAUAAAGUGAGAUAUAAGUAUUCUAAUUAAAUAAAGUUGCUGUAUA
Molecule: long non-coding RNA, 1170 nt
Organism: Rhineura floridana
Lineage: Eukaryota; Metazoa; Chordata; Lepidosauria; Squamata; Rhineuridae
Exons: 4
Source: RefSeq, a predicted model, not a curated record